Molecule: ribosomal RNA, 230 nt
Filed under: uncultured bacterium
Lineage: Bacteria
Description: partial 16S ribosomal RNA
Rfam family: Bacterial small subunit ribosomal RNA
Source: RNAcentral
UAACACGUAAAGAACCUGCCUCAUAGACGGGGACAACUAUUGGAAACGAUAGCUAAUACCGGAUAACAACAUAAAUCGCAUGAUAUAUGUUUAAAAGUUGGUUUCGGCUAACACUAUGAGAUGGCUUUGCGGUGCAUUAGCUAGUUGGUGGGGUAAAGGCCUACCAAGGCGACGAUGCAUAGCCGACCUGAGAGGGUGAUCGGCCACACUGGGACUGAGACACGGCCCAG